RNAcentral lists this unclassified non-coding RNA (615 nucleotides) under Neocucurbitaria sp. FMR 17552. Its description in RNAcentral is "sequence contains 18S rRNA gene, ITS1, 5.8S rRNA gene, ITS2". The stretch from base 164 to 317 matches the Rfam family "5.8S ribosomal RNA". The record is from RNAcentral. Lineage: Eukaryota; Fungi; Ascomycota; Dothideomycetes; Pleosporales; Cucurbitariaceae.
GCGGAAGAUCAUUACCAUAAUGUCGGGGGUAACUUCACUGUUGCCCUGUCUGAACCCUUGUCUUUUGCGUACUAUUUGUUUCCUCGGUGGGCUUGCCUGCCGAUAGGACAACCAUUAAACCUUUUGUAAUUGCAAUCAGCGUCAGAAAAAACAUAAUAGUUACAACUUUCAACAACGGAUCUCUUGGUUCUGGCAUCGAUGAAGAACGCAGCGAAAUGCGAAAAGUAGUGUGAAUUGCAGAAUUCAGUGAAUCAUCGAAUCUUUGAACGCACAUUGCGCCCCUUGGUAUUCCAUGGGGCAUGCCUGUUCGAGCGUCAUUUGUACCUUCAAGCCCUGCUUGGUGUUGGGUGUUUGUCCCGCUUUGUGCGUGGACUCGCCUCAAAGCAAUUGGCAGCCGGCGUACUAGCCUGGGAGCGCAGCACAUUUUGCGCAUCUUGUCUUGAACGCUUGCGUCCAUGAAGCCUACAUUUUAACUCUUGACCUCGGAUCAGGUAGGGAUACCCGCUGAACUUAAGCAUAUCAAUAAGCGGAGGAAAAGAAACCAACAGGGAUUGCCCUAGUAACGGCGAGUGAAGCGGCAUCAGCUCAAAUUUGAAAUCUGGCUCUUUCAUGGUC